RNAcentral lists this transfer RNA (74 nucleotides) under Desulfuromonas sp. SDB. RNAcentral's name for it is "tRNA-Ala". It matches the Rfam family "tRNA". Rfam says of the family: Transfer RNA (tRNA) molecules are approximately 80 nucleotides in length. Lineage: Bacteria; Pseudomonadati; Thermodesulfobacteriota; Desulfuromonadia; Desulfuromonadales; Desulfuromonadaceae. RNAcentral also lists the same sequence under 2 other names. The record is from RNAcentral.
GGGGGUGUAGCUCAGUUGGCUAGAGCGCCUGCCUUGCACGCAGGAGGUCACCGGUUCGAAUCCGGUCACCUCCA